Molecule: long non-coding RNA, 866 nt
Organism: Camelus dromedarius (Arabian camel)
Lineage: Eukaryota; Metazoa; Chordata; Mammalia; Artiodactyla; Camelidae
Exons: 5
Source: RefSeq, a predicted model, not a curated record
GAGGGAGGAGCCAGCGGCGCUGUCCGCCGUAGGGGCGGGACGGCAGCGCGGGUGGGCCGGUCGCCGGGCCCUUCGCGUGGGAAUUCCCGCGGAGUUAGGUCCUCUACUUCUGCUGGGAACCCGAUUACGUGCGAGAGCUCAUGGGCCCGCCUCUGCCCCUCCGCCCUGUGGGCCCCGUGCCGGGGCCUCCAUGCUGGUGGGCUCCGUGCCUUGCGGGCGCUGCCGAGCGGCGGGCGCGGCCUCAGGGUCAUCCGUGGAGGCACCUUCCCUUCCCCCCACCGCCAGAUGAUGCAGCCUCCCCGCCUUCUGUCCAGUCGUAUUUUGGAGCACUGGCGGCGUUUGUUCCAGGAUCUUCCGUUGUUAAUGUGUUCAGGAGACGUGGCACUGAAGCUGGAGAACAGCAUGUACAGUAUAGAAGGCCCUUAGGUUGUAAAUGCCUGCUGUACCCUCAGAUGCUUGAGUUUACAUAGAGAUGUGUAUUUCUGGACAUAAUACAGAAGAAACUGGUCAACAGCUGGGAGACUGGAAGAACUUUUGCUUGUGCAAAAACGAGUUGUGCAGCAGAGCCCGUGAGUUGAAGAUGAAUGAAGAUCAUUGUGAUAAAUGUUUUCCAAAAACUUGUUAUACAGGAUGGCUGUGAAAAAACCACUAAGAGGACAACUGCAUCUAACAAGCAUAUAGGUUACCUGCAGAUGAAUGCUCAAGUCUUUAGCAGUGGUGUUUAAAAAAUCUUCAUUGCCUCAAAGGUUCGGCAUACAACUUUUUGGAAGGAAAAAUGAACUGGUCAAGAAGACAUGAAUGGAAGCAAAUGAUAAAAAUAUUUUAUUUAACAUUGAUCAUCUCACAAUAAAUUACAUAUAAAAUUA